AGAGUUUGAUCAUGGCUCAGGACGAACGCUGGCGGCGUGCUUAACACAUGCAAGUCGAACGAAGCACUCUAUUUGAUUUUCUUCGGAAAUGAAGAUUUUGUGACUGAGUGGCGGACGGGUGAGUAACGCGUGGGUAACCUGCCUCAUACAGGGGGAUAACAGUUGGAAACGACUGCUAAUACCGCAUAAGCGCACGGUAUCGCAUGGUACAGUGUGAAAAACUCCGGUGGUAUGAGAUGGACCCGCGUCUGAUUAGCCAGUUGGUGGGGUAACGGCCUACCAAAGCGACGAUCAGUAGCCGACCUGAGAGGGUGACCGGCCACAUUGGGACUGAGACACGGCCCAAACUCCUACGGGAGGCAGCAGUGGGGAAUAUUGCACAAUGGGGGAAACCCUGAUGCAGCGACGCCGCGUGAACGAAGAAGUAUUUCGGUAUGUAAAGUUCUAUCAGCAGGGAAGAUAAUGACGGUACCUGACUAAGAAGCACCGGCUAAAUACGUGCCAGCAGCCGCGGUAAUACGUAUGGUGCAAGCGUUAUCCGGAUUUACUGGGUGUAAAGGGAGCGCAGGCGGUGCGGCAAGUCUGAUGUGAAAGCCCGGGGCUCAACCCCGGUACUGCAUUGGAAACUGUCGUACUAGAGUGUCGGAGGGGUAAGUGGAAUUCCUAGUGUAGCGGUGAAAUGCGUAGAUAUUAGGAGGAACACCAGUGGCGAAGGCGGCUUACUGGACGAUAACUGACGCUGAGGCUCGAAAGCGUGGGGAGCAAACAGGAUUAGAUACCCUGGUAGUCCACGCCGUAAACGAUGAACACUAGGUGUUGGAGAGCAUUGCUCUUCGGUGCCGCAGC
Molecule: ribosomal RNA, 846 nt
Filed under: uncultured bacterium
Lineage: Bacteria
Description: bacterial SSU rRNA
Rfam family: Bacterial small subunit ribosomal RNA
Source: RNAcentral